Harpegnathos saltator (Jerdon's jumping ant) is the source of this 802-nucleotide long non-coding RNA. RefSeq lists it as uncharacterized. Lineage: Eukaryota; Metazoa; Arthropoda; Insecta; Hymenoptera; Formicidae. The transcript is spliced from 4 exons. The record is from RefSeq and is a predicted model, not a curated record.
AAUUUAAAAAAAAAAGCGAAGAUUGUAUGGUUUUUCUCGCAGAUCAGUAAUCAAACAAUCAGAAGACCUCUGCACGAACAAGGUUUGCGAUCACCGGUUCGUGUUCGAGUGCCAAUAUUGCCAAUAGUUCAUCUACGCGCUCGUUCGAAAUAUGCACGCGCCCAUCGAAACUGAACUCUGAAAUAAUGAAGAAAUGUAUUGUUUACUGACGAAUCACGGUUUUAUCUGCAUGGCAAUGACGCAAGACUCCGUAUUUGGCGUUGUAGAGGACAACAUUUCGAGGAGAAUCAUGUCGAUCCGAUCUAGUUUUUUGGUAAUGGAACCAUUAUAGUAUGGGGUAGAAUAUCGAUGCACGAACGUACGGAUCUUGUAACUGUGCCACCUCCAAGAUUGACAGCGAUACGUUACAUGGAAGAAAUUUUGCGUCCUCACGUGACUCCGAUACGUCAGCAAAUAGGGCGCAAAUUUACCUUGAUGCAAGACAACGCUCGACCACAUACUACUAGAUAUGAUGGAAAGACGGUUGCGAAAUUUGGAGAAAGCACCUUCUAAUCUUCAAGAAUUCGAAGCAACGUUGAACCGAAUAUGGAAUAAAAUAGACAAGGAAUAAAAUUGCCCAAAGCAAUUACAGCUUGCAUCAAUCUGUUUCAGCGUCUACGAGAGGUGAUUCAAGGAUGAGAAAUCAUUCUAUUGUUCUCAACUACUAAAUUACAUUAUGCGACGAACAUCUGCCGUAUCGAAAAGGAUAUAAACUUUGUAUCAAGGAUUGUGCUUGUCGUUCAUAUUUGCCUGGAUAAUAAAA